UUGUAUCUCUAUCAUUUAUUGCACUAACACAUAUUAUACAUUGCUUUUUAGAGGAUAAACAUGGCUUUAAUUUGAUGUCACAUAUACAUAGAUACAUUCUCAUUCAUUAUAUAAAAAUGCCCCAAAAUUUGUAAAAAAAAUGAAAAAUACAUUUUUCCCACGGUUUUGGCAAUAAUAGCGCGUGCAUAAUAUGUCCAGCUUAGAAAAAGUAAUUCAAAAUAAAUUCAUUUAUGUGUCUUGAUUUAUAGAGUACAUCAUAUGUGUAGGAUUUCAGCUUGUUUUGAGAGCUACAGGUCACAAAAUACAAGGAC
Pelobates cultripes (western spadefoot toad) is the source of this 311-nucleotide non-coding RNA. NCBI's taxonomy places the organism in Eukaryota, Metazoa, Chordata, Amphibia, Anura, Pelobatidae. The record is from the annotation of a GenBank genome assembly.